CCUACGGGAGGCAGCAGUGGGGAAUAUUGCACAAUGGGGGAAACCCUGAUGCAGCGACGCCGCGUGAGUGAAGAAGUAUUUCGGUAUGUAAAGCUCUAUCAGCAGGGAAGAAGAAAGACGGUACCUGACUAAGAAGCCCCGGCUAACUACGUGCCAACAGCCGCGGUAAUACGUAGGGGGCAAGCGUUAUCCGGAUUUACUGGGUGUAAAGGGAGCGUAGACGGCUGUGCAAGUCUGACGUGAAAGCCCAGGGCUCAACCCUGGGACUGCUUUGGAAACUGUGGAGCUAGAGGGCUGGAGAGGUAAGUGGAAGUCCUAGUGUAGCGGUGAAAUGCGUAGAUAUUAGGAGGAACACCAGUGGCGAAGGCGGCUUACUGGACAGUAACUGACGUUGAGGCUCGAAAGCGUGGGGAGCAAACAGGAUUAGAUACCCUUGUAGUC
Molecule: ribosomal RNA, 441 nt
Filed under: uncultured bacterium
Lineage: Bacteria
Description: partial 16S ribosomal RNA
Rfam family: Bacterial small subunit ribosomal RNA
Source: RNAcentral